CUGAUGCAGCUGGGUGUUGCCAUUAUGAUUGAUGAAUUUCAAGUCAAAGUCUGUUACAUUUUUCCCCCAUGCCAGUUCAAACAGAUACUUGAAAACACCUGUAGAUUUUAAGAUUUAGUUGAAAGAGCUGUUGCAGACAGAUGUGCCUAAUUAAUGCUGAAUAUGUCUGAAAUAUUGUUCAUUUCAUUACAUUUGAAAUUUACAGAGAAUGAACCAUUGCAUUGCGAAUUACUUGGGUGUCAGCUUCAGAAACUCCAUCACAUAAUUCUUUGGGGUGGCAAGAUCUACAGUUCUUAAGAAGACAGAAUUAAAAUACUUUGCUGAAGACCAUCCUUUUUCUCUGGUGAGAUAUAUACAUAUUUCCUAAAGUCCUAGUUGGUAGGAUGCUGAAGCUCAAGAGAAAUCCUACUAUUGGAAAGGAGAGCAGAUUUUAUGAGAAGAAAGGCCAAAAAACAUACUGAAGAAUUGACUAUUCAUAGUGGAUUGACAUGGAAGAUUUUCUUUCCUGGAAUGAAGUGUAAUAGAGGGGAAGGUACUGAGAUUCUACAGAUUUCAGCUAAUGUAGUUUCAUUAUCUUACAUUCAUGAAUCUUAUUAGAAAUGGGAAAGAUUUGAGAAAGAGAUGUUUAUCUGCAAAAUGUAUCAAAUUUCCAAGAAGUCUUCUGGGAGUAAAAUGGAUUUUCAUUUUGAGACUGUACAUCCAGGAAGAGAGGAUCAAGAUUCCUGAUUUUAACUCACUAGAGGAAAGAGGUCACGAGCCAAGUGGAAGAAUAAGCCACACAACCACAAUGCUCAUCAGUGUGGAAAUCUGCUUUCAGUUGCUGUAAAUAUUUUGGAUGGAUUAUGAAGGAAAAACUAACAAAGAAUAUGGAAGAAAACACACAUCUAUGACAAAUCAAGAGAAAGAAGAGAUAAAAUGAUGGAAAAACAGAGCCUGAACUAUCACAGAUCUCACUUGGAGAGGACUACCAGAUCAAGGAGGCCUAAACUCAACAUUUUUGUCAGCAUCUUGUGCUGACUGCUAAGGCCAUUCUGCUGCAGCUCUCAGCUGGAAGGCUGUGCACCCUACUGAGCAAUAAAGAGGUAAGCUGGAGUGUAUCA
This 1100-nucleotide long non-coding RNA is filed under the name Parus major (Great Tit). RNAcentral describes it as "lncRNA (ENSPMJG00000013726.1)". Lineage: Eukaryota; Metazoa; Chordata; Aves; Passeriformes; Paridae. The record is from RNAcentral.